GAUGGAAUGGUGUGUGUGUAGGGGGCCAUUUGAAAUUUUAAAUGGGUGCUGAGGAUGUCACUGAAGUGAUAUUUGAGUCAAGAUCCAAAGGAAAUGAGGAACAAGCUAGUGUGCUAUGGGAGAUGAGGAAACUGAGACUCAAGACCCAAGGCCACGGCACUAGCAGGUGGAACAGCUGGAAUACAAAGCAUCCCACAAAUGAGGCUAAAAAUGAAGAAAGAAUUGGAGGUGGGAAGCAUCUUCUUCAUAAGGAUGAAGCCCUCUCUUUCUCUGAUUCACAUGAUGAGGAACAAGACCAUAAAAAGUCCUAAUUUUUACAUCUGAGAAAUAGGCAGCCACAGAAAGCCUGGCUCCUUUGUAUCUGUCUAGACUCAAAACUCCCAUGGAAGGGCUCAGAUAAGUCUGAGGGUCAGGGGCUUGCCUCUGAACCAAUCAGCUGUUGCUAGGCAAUGGGUUCUAUGAUUGAUCAGGCUUGUGUAGGUGGCUAGCCCUGGACCAUCAACACUGAUCAGGGGGAAGGGGUCACUUCUAUGAUGGCUUCCAUGGUAACCAUAUAGAUGACAAGAGGGAUAGAUAUUAGAAAAGAAGUGCUUCAUAGGUAUUCCCUGAAGAACACAUAGGAUCCAAAAGGGAUGGAGGCGAGAAGAGCUUGAGGGUUUGCCUAGAAAACCACUUUACCAUUUGAAGAUUAUUUCUAUGAGCCAGCAGGAGUGCCAUGUUUGCGUGGAUUGGACACCUGCUUUAUUUUUUCCUUCUAAUUAUGAAUGCUUGUCGUUGUUGUUGCUUAUGUCCCAGUGCUUGUCAUAGCCCUUUACACUUAAUAAGUGGUCAAUCAAGGUUUGUUGUAAUUUUGAUCUGAAUGUUCUCAGUGGGGCUUUUGCAUACUGGAUCUACAGACCUUCAAGAAAAGAGUCCUGGAAGCAUUUUUGACAUAAAGAAAUAAAUCCACAGCCUCCCUCUCCAGGUGACUGCUUUGAUGACAGCACUCAUUUGGAAGUGGAAAUCUUGGCUCUGGCUGCCGCUUGGAGACGCUUCUUCUAAGCUGCAUCCUCAUCUUCACUUUCAUCUUCAUCAAGCAUCGCGUGAUCGCUUCCUAAGAGGGAUCCAGAAGACCGUCUGAGGCUCACUGAAUGCAGUUCCCCUCUUAGAAGACCCAGAAAACAUCACACCACACUCGGAGUGUAGAAAGCAUGUGACGCCAAGGAAUCGAAGCCAGGUGGACAGGCUGAGCAUUGGAUGAAGUGAGAGCAGCCCUUAGGUUGAGCAAGGAGAGCACUGAGGAGCUGUGUUAUGGACAAAGUGAGGUGAGGCGGUUAUCAUCACCCUGCUUGUCACCACCAGGAUCCUGCUGGAGAUUUCCGGCCAAGGAGGGCCCAUGGUAAGGAGACACUCUACAUCAGAUGACAUCUUGGACACAGCUCGAGAUCCUGUGUGAUCGGUGGUUCCCCAGGUCACAGACUGAGUCCGGGCUCAUGUGUCAGGCAGAGGCCCUUAGGGAGGCCAGAGCUUGUCCCCUUCCCAGCUCCUUGGCAGAAACCAGUGCCAAUAAACUACAGGAGGAAUUUCUGCCUUUGAGUCAUGAGCCAACCUAGUGGCUGCUACAGAUCAGCUAAGAGAAUAAGUCACCCAACCUCCUGUGGUUCGCCCCAGAGCUGGCGCCACAGUGGGAGCCGGGCAGAUCUUCCUAGGAGGGCUGGGAGUGCCAGAGAUAACAGCUGAGCUCAGGUGAAAGCCUUCUGGAUGGGGACACCAGGCUUGAGGGGCCGUGAAGAGCUCUUUCAUCUCCAAUCCACCCCGUGCCUUGUCAUCUACCUGCUGAGAGGCCACAGCUUACUGGAAAGAAUCUCCCCGUUGGGUAAAUUCAUGUAAUGUGGGUGGGCAGGGGCCCUCUGUUCUGCUCCACCAGGUGAGAAGAUCCUUCUGGUUGAUUAGCUGUGAAGGAGUUGGCCUGUGGUCAUCCUGCCUUGCAGUCCAGUACUGGGAGGGCUAGUUCCACUCACCACCCACCCUUUGCAAGAGUCCCGUUCUUGUCUUCCCAGACUGAACCCAGUUGAAUUUCCAUGGAUGUGUGAGCAGUUCUACCAUGAAGGUCUCAGGAGAGCGCCUUCAAGCAGCACAGGGAGAAAGAGGGGAGGGCUUGUGGACGUAAGGAAGGGGAAGAGUCUCCUAAUGUUGGCUUUUGGGAAACGUCCCGCCAGAUUCCCUACUUCCUGCCUUUCAAUCUUUUUGGUACCCCCUACCCCUUCCCCAGUCCCUCUUCAAGUUGCUCUCUUUCCUCUGAUCCUCAGCUCCUCCCACAGGGAUGCCCCUCCCGACAGAAGGUUCUGAGCCCCAGGGAUGCGAACCUUCCUGCAAACGACAGUAGGGUCAGGCUCAGGUGGGAGGUGGGGGUGUGUAAGGCAUCAAAGUGACUGGUGAGGCAAAAUGAUUUAUUGGAAUAUUCAUUUGUUUUUGAGCUUCCUCAAGUCUCUUCUUCCUCCUCCAUUUUAAGCUGAUGGCUUGGCCUUUUUGGGUUUCUUGCUUUACGGAUUCCUGUCCACAGAAGCAGCCUGCAGCCCACAGCUCGUCUGCACCUUGUGAAGAGAUACUGACAUUGAACCUGAAGUACUGGGUUGAAUGCGGAGGAUUCAGUGGUGAACAAAGCCGGCCCCUGGCCCCACGGACCCUAUAGUCUCACCAGGGAGACAUAUAUUCAUCAAAUAAUUCUACAAAUAUUUAUAUAUACAUAUGUACACCUGGAUAAAGACUGAAAGGAAAACAGAUGCCGCUAUGAGGAUGCUGGUAACUCCAGGCAGAAGGAAAGUGCAAAGGAGAAGGGAGGCAGCACACAUUAUGCAGAGUGCGGAAUUUCCAAGCCCAGUGGUCAGGAAGAGUCAUCUUACCCCCAGCUCCAGGGUGAACUUUGAUGGGAUUGCUCCAAUCAGCCUAUCUUAUUACCCAGACCUUGGCAAUUGGUUCAGAGAGGGGCACUUGACCCAGUUUGGACCCAAGAGGAGACAUUUGCUGAGAACUUCUGAGCUAGACAGUUUGUCUCUCUUUCAUGGAAGCGUCUGGAAUUGAUACUCUCUCUUCCCUACCUUGAGUGGUGUGGCCUAAGAAGGUGGGCCUAGAAGUCCAGUGGUCAUUGUUACUAACAGGAGCACGGCUAGCUGAGACUGAAGCUGUACAGAGCAGAGUUGAGAGGCUGGCAGAAAACCUGAAUCAGAGUCCAGACUCUUUCAGGAACCUCUGGAUCAAAUCUUGCCCAAGGCUCAUGCCCCCUCUAGAAUUUCAGUUAAAUGAGUCAGUAAUUUAAGCCUAUUUGAGUCGUGUUAUCUGUUACUGGCGACCCAAAACAUCCUAAAUAAUACAUGCAUUUAAAAUAAUUGUAUUCUAUUCUAUUACAUGGAUGUGUGAAAAGCAUUUUCCUGUUUACUACCCAAUCUGACCUUUAAGCGGUCUUAUGAAGUAAACAAGUCUCUAUUUGGCAAGUGUAGAACUAAGGCCCGGAGAGGACAACUGAGCUAUCUAAAGUCACACAGCCAGUUAGUGGCAGAACCAGGCUCCCUGCCGUCUUGAGCAAAGCUUUUAAUGGUCAUCGAUUCCUCAAGGCAGAGACAUUAUGGACCAGUGAGUAAAAGAAUUCUGAAGGAUGGCACCGCAUCGUUAGGCUGACAGUCAGGAUGGGAAAGUGACAUGGCAUGUGAACCAGCUGCAUCCUGGAUUUGAAACCUAGGGUUUAAAGCAUGAAAAAGUUUAGAGAGAGAUUAGAGUACUGAUUCUCAAACUGUGGUCUGGGGACCCUGAGGGUUCCUGAGAUCUUUUCAAGAGAUUUGUGAGCUCAAAAGCAUUUUCAUAAUAACAUUAAAAUGAUAUUUUCUCUUUUAUUCUCAUUCUCUCGUAAG
Molecule: long non-coding RNA, 3884 nt
Organism: Equus caballus (horse)
Lineage: Eukaryota; Metazoa; Chordata; Mammalia; Perissodactyla; Equidae
Source: Ensembl